This 73-nucleotide non-coding RNA is filed under the name Lachnospiraceae bacterium. Lineage: Bacteria; Bacillati; Bacillota; Clostridia; Lachnospirales; Lachnospiraceae. The record is from RNAcentral.
AGCCGAAACGGUGCGACUGCUGCACCGUCAGCGUCCGGAUGGCGACCGACGCUCUGACGAGGGCAAGCCAAAA